Molecule: long non-coding RNA, 533 nt
Filed under: Prunus persica (peach)
Lineage: Eukaryota; Viridiplantae; Streptophyta; Magnoliopsida; Rosales; Rosaceae
Description: long non-coding RNA (PPER_LNC006478)
Source: RNAcentral
GGGUGUAUUCAAUUUGGAUUUAUACAAACUUUUUAAAAGUCUAUAACAGUUUGGGUGUAUUCAAUCUAGAUUUGUUUGAACUUUUAAAAUGUCCAUCUAAAUGUGGGUGUAUUCAAUUAGGACUUGGAAAAAGUCCGAAUAAAUUUACCUGUAUUCAAAAGGAGAUAGAUUUGUAAGGAUUUAAUUAAGUGUUGGAGUUUGGAGAACUUGUAGGGUUUAGGUAUAAAUAAUAAAGGCCAACAUAAGUCCAACGUCCACCCCAAAGAUUUCAUAUGACUUGUUUUUUUUCCCUCUCUGUUUAGAAAUUUUUCCAUCGUUUGGCAAACAAUGCACUAAGCCAUGCACUAACCUUGGGUGGUUACAAGCGUCCUAUAUUAAGGAAAGCUCCUCAAUUAGCGAUUUCUUCAAAUCAACCAGUUGGAGUUUCUAGGAGGAAAGCUCAGCUAGAGAUUUCUCGAUCUCCUAUAAGUUCCCUUGGAGAUAAUCUCGGCAUGAAGCCAAUGUCAAGGCGGCAGAAGGUUGAGAUAUAUUUC